This is a long non-coding RNA of Malurus melanocephalus (red-backed fairy wren), 839 nucleotides long. RefSeq lists it as uncharacterized. Lineage: Eukaryota; Metazoa; Chordata; Aves; Passeriformes; Maluridae. The record is from RefSeq and is a predicted model, not a curated record. The transcript is spliced from 3 exons.
CCACCACACUGCUCCAGGGACUGCCAACAGGGACUGGCAUCACCUUGGAACAGCCAGCAGCCUGCCUCAAGGAAUAGGAACRCAGCCCCCUCCACCACAUAGCUGUGAAAGCAUACCUCUGAAGCAGGAAUUUUUGGAGAAGCAGUGCCACCAAGCAGUCAGGAGACAGAGAGCCAGCAGAAGGACAGCCUGGGACAAGAAAAAAGAGGAAAGAAGGGAAGGCUGGAGAGCCAGGUACCAUAAAAAAUUCUUGUAUUUAACUAAAAGGAAGAAAAAAGCAGGAGCACAGCACAUCCUCUGCUCAUCAAACCCACCACAACACCCUGGGCUGUGCUGGGACCCCAUCAACACCCUGACAGGAACCUCAUGGGAAAGGUGAGACAUAUCUGUAUGCAAACAGCACAAUAGUAAUGGCAUAUUCCCAAAACAAAAAAUGAAUCCACCAGAUGAUUGCUUGGAAGAUGAGAUAAGGAGUAAUUAAAACUGAAGUGUUGUGGGAGAGGAGGAAAUGGGACACCGUGUCAGGGAAACUGGGCUAAACCAGACAGACCAGUCCVGGCACCUUCCCUGAGCUUUAGCAGUCAGUGUGAUUGUGAGACAGUCUAGACUGAGGCAUGCCCGAUGACUGAAAUGAGAUCAUUUCAUGCAUUAUACAUUAAAAACACAAACUGACUCUUUUCAGGAGAAUGGAGUGUCCCUCAAUGCUGGAGUUAAAAAUAAAGGCACUAACUUGGAGAACACRGGACUGAAUGCAGCCAAAAAAAGUCCAGCGAACAGCACUUGCUGGUAGAUGUUGAUACCCAAGCUGACAAACAGCCAGCUGAUACAAAGAAGGCAUU